This 253-nucleotide ribosomal RNA is filed under the name uncultured bacterium. RNAcentral's name for it is "partial 16S ribosomal RNA". It matches the Rfam family "Bacterial small subunit ribosomal RNA", at positions 524 to 776 of the family's 1533-position model. The record is from RNAcentral.
GACAGAGGGUGCAAACGUUGUUCGGAAUUACUGGGCGUAAAGCGAGUGUAGGCGGUUUGGUAAGUCGGAUGUGAAAGCCCCGGGCUCAACCCGGGAAGUGCAUUCGAUACUCCCAAGCUAGAGUAUCGGAGAGGUUGGUGGAAUUCUCGGUGUAGAGGUGAAAUUCGUAGAUAUCGAGAGGAACACCGGUGGCGAAGGCGGCCAACUGGACGAAUACUGACGCUGAGACUCGAAAGCGUGGGGAGCAAACAGG